Molecule: ribosomal RNA, 429 nt
Filed under: Gemmatimonadota bacterium
Lineage: Bacteria; Pseudomonadati; Gemmatimonadota
Description: Gemmatimonadetes bacterium partial 16S ribosomal RNA
Rfam family: Bacterial small subunit ribosomal RNA
Source: RNAcentral
UAGGGAAUCUUCGGCAAUGGACGAAAGUCUGACCGAGCAACGCCGCGUGAGUGAAGAAGGUUUUCGGAUCGUAAAACUCUGUUGUUAGAGAAGAACAAGGACGUUAGUAACUGAACGUCCCUUGACGGUAUCUAACCAGAAAGCCACGGCUAACUACGUGCCAGCAGCCGCGGUAAUACGUAGGUGGCAAGCGUUGUCCGGAUUUAUUGGGCGUAAAGCGAGCGCAGGCGGUUUCUUAAGUCUGAUGUGAAAGCCCCCGGCUCAACCGGGGAGGGUCAUUGGAGACUGGGAGACUUGAGUGCAGAAGAGGAGAGUGGAAUUCCAUGUGUAGCGGUGAAAUGCGUAGAUAUAUGGAGGAACACCAGUGGCGAAGGCGGCUCUCUGGUCUGUAACUGACGCUGAGGCUCGAAAGCGUGGGGAGCAAACAGG